GAUCAUGGCUCAGGAUGAACGCUGGCGGCGUGCUUAACACAUGCAAGUCGAACGGAACUACUUUGAUGAGAUUCUUCGGAAAGGAUUUGAUUUAGCUUAGUGGCGGACGGGUGAGUAACGCGUGGGUAACCUGCCUCAUACAGGGGGAUAACAGUUGGAAACGGCUGUUAAUACCGCAUAAGCGCACAGUACCGCAUGGUACCGUGUGAAAAACUCCGGUGGUAUGAGAUGGACCCGCGUCUGAUUAGG
This 249-nucleotide ribosomal RNA is filed under the name uncultured bacterium. RNAcentral describes it as "partial 16S ribosomal RNA". It matches the Rfam family "Bacterial small subunit ribosomal RNA", at positions 15 to 245 of the family's 1533-position model. The record is from RNAcentral.